This 415-nucleotide ribosomal RNA is filed under the name uncultured bacterium. RNAcentral describes it as "bacterial LSU rRNA". It matches the Rfam family "Bacterial large subunit ribosomal RNA", at positions 240 to 689 of the family's 2925-position model. The record is from RNAcentral.
UAAGUAGUGGCGAGCGAACAGGGACCAGCCUGCAAGAGAUAACUAGUGUGUUAGUGGAACGCUCUGGAAAAGUGCGGCCAUAGUGGGUGAUAGCCCCGUACGCGAAAACACAUUAGCGAGACUGAGCUUGCGACAAGUAGGGCGGGACACGUGAAAAUCCUGUCUGAAGAUGGGGGGGACCAUCCUCCAAGGCUAAAAUACUCGUAAUCGACCGAUAGUGAACCAGUACCGUGAGGGAAAGGCGAAAAGAACCCCGGGAGGGGAGUGAAAUAGAUCCUGAAACCGCAUGCAUACAAACACGUGGGAGCCUCGCAAGGGGUGACUGCGUACCUUUUGUAUAAUGGGUCAGCGACUUACGUUCUGUAGCGAGCUUAACCGAAUAGGGGGAGGGCGUUAGCGAAAGCGAGUCUGAUAA